UACGAAGGGUGCAAGCGUUACUCGGAAUUACUGGGCGUAAAGCGUGCGUAGGUGGUUCGUUAAGUCUGAUGUGAAAGCCCUGGGCUCAACCUGGGAAUGGCAUUGGAAACUGGCGACCUAGAGUGCGGUAGAGGGUAGUGGAAUUCCCGGUGUAGCAGUGAAAUGCGUAGAGAUCGGGAGGAACAUCUGUGGCGAAGGCGACUGCCUGGACCAGCACUGACACUAAGGCACGAAAGCGUGGGGAGCAAACAGG
RNAcentral lists this ribosomal RNA (253 nucleotides) under uncultured bacterium. RNAcentral's name for it is "partial 16S ribosomal RNA". It matches the Rfam family "Bacterial small subunit ribosomal RNA", at positions 524 to 776 of the family's 1533-position model. The record is from RNAcentral.